GGGGGAUAAAUUAAUAAAGUAUAAAUAAUAAAAAAAUUUUUAAUAUUAAAAUAUUUUAAUGGGGGUUAAAGUAUAUUUAAUAGAAAAAAUAAAAAAAAUUUAUAGAAAAUUAGUAUUGUAAAAGAAAUUUGAAAUAUAUUGAAAAUAAAUUUAUUUAAAAGUAAAUUUAAUUUAUUGUAUCUUGUGUAUCAGAGUUUAUUAAUAAUAAUUUUUUUUUUUAAAAAUUUUCUCGAAUUUAAAAGAGAUAAUUAAUUAUUAAAAUUAAUGUUGUAUAAUUAUUUUAAAUAAUUAAUUGGAAAUGAGAUGUUAAUCGUUUUUAAAUAUAUCUAGUUUUUUUAGAAAAAAAUUUAAUUUUAAAUUUUAAAAGAAAAUAUAAUUUUAAUUAAUUAAAAUUAUAUUUUUAAAAUUAAAUAUUUUAAGGGAUAAGCUUUAAAAUAAAUUUUUAUAAUAAAUUUUAAUAAUAAUAAUUAAAAUUUUUAAAAUUUAUAUUGUUUAUAAAUUAUAAUUUUUUAUAAAUAAUUUUAAUUUAAUUAAAAUUUCAAAAUUUAUUUAAUUUUUUAUUGAAAAAUAUUUUUUAAUAAUUUAAAUUUAGAUAUAAUGAUAAAAUUAGUAUAUAAAUAGAUAAAUAUAAUUUAUUAUUUGAUAAUUUAAUAAAAGGAAUUCGGCAAAAAUUUAUAUUCACUUGUUUAUCAAAAACAUGUCUUUUUGAUUAAUAAUUUAAAGUCUAAUCUGCCCACUGAUAAUAUAUUAAAGGGCUGCAGUAUUUUGACUGUACAAAGGUAGCAUAAUCAUUAGUCUCUUAAUUGGUGACUUGUAUGAAGGAUUUGAUGAAAUAUAUACUGUCUCUUUUUGAUUUAUAAAAUUUAAUUUUUUAGUUAAAAAGCUAAAAUUUAUUUAAAAGACGAGAAGACCCUAUAGAGUUUUAUAUUUAUAUAAAUUAAAAUUUUUUAUAAGAUUUAAAAUUAAAAUUAAAUAAAUUAUUUUAUUGGGGUGAUAGAAAAAUUAAAUUAACUUUUUUUAAUAAUUUUACAUUAAUAUAUGAAUAAAUGAUCCAUAAUUUAAGAUUAUAAGAUAAAAUUACCUUAGGGAUAACAGCGUAAUUUUUUUUUUUAGUUCAAAUAAGAAAAAAAGUUUGCGACCUCGAUGUUGGAUUAAGAUAAAAUUUAAAUGCAAAAGUUUAAAAUUUUGAUCUGUUCGAUCAUUAAAAUCUUACAUGAUCUGAGUUCAAACCGGUGUGAGCCAGGUUGGUUUCUAUCUUUAAAUAAAAAUAAUAUUUUAGUACGAAAGGAUCAAAUAUUAAAAAUAAUUUUAUAAAAAUGAAUAUUAUUAAUAAUAUU
This 1337-nucleotide ribosomal RNA is filed under the name Parnassius bremeri. RNAcentral describes it as "large subunit ribosomal RNA". The stretch from base 1088 to 1246 matches the Rfam family "Eukaryotic large subunit ribosomal RNA", at positions 2825 to 2984 of the family's 3401-position model. The record is from RNAcentral. Lineage: Eukaryota; Metazoa; Arthropoda; Insecta; Lepidoptera; Papilionidae.